CCUACGGGUGGCAGCAGUGAGGAAUAUUGGUCAAUGGCCGUAAGGCUGAACCAGCCAAGUCGCGUGAAGGAAGAAGGAUCUAUGGUUUGUAAACUUCUUUUAUAGGGGAAUAAAGGUAUCCACGUGUGGAUAUUUGCAUGUACCCUAUGUAUCAGCAUCGGCUAACUUCGUGCCAGCAGCCGCGGUAAGACGGAGGAUGCGAGCGUUGUCCGGAUUUAUUGGGUUUAAAGGGUGCGUAGGUGGUUUUUUAAGUUAGCGGUGAAAGUUUGUGGCUCAACCAUAAAAGUGCCGUGGAAACUGGAAGACUUGAGUGUGUUUGAGGGAGGCGGAAUGCGUGGUGUAGCGGUGAAAUGCAUAGAUAUCACGAAGAACUCCGAUUGCGAAGGCAGCUUACUAGGCCAUAACUGACACUGAAGCACGAAAGCGUGGGGAUCAAACAGGAUUAGAUACCCGAGUAGUC
This 460-nucleotide ribosomal RNA is filed under the name uncultured bacterium. RNAcentral's name for it is "partial 16S ribosomal RNA". It matches the Rfam family "Bacterial small subunit ribosomal RNA", at positions 338 to 795 of the family's 1533-position model. The record is from RNAcentral.